Zingiber officinale is the source of this 1814-nucleotide RNA transcript. RefSeq lists it as uncharacterized. The record is from RefSeq and is a predicted model, not a curated record. The transcript is spliced from 2 exons. NCBI's taxonomy places the organism in Eukaryota, Viridiplantae, Streptophyta, Magnoliopsida, Zingiberales, Zingiberaceae.
GCUUCCUGGUUAAAAUUACGAGCCCUGCCCUAGACGCCGCCGUCCCUGAUCCUCUCCUGCCGACUCUCUGCCGCCUCUCUCUCUCUCUCUCUCAUGCCCUAGCGAUAGACGCCGCCGUCCCUGAUUCAGCUUUAUGAUCGACAUUGGCUGCUUGUAGUCGCCAUCGCAACGAAGAAUUCUAUUCGGUUGCAGGCGAAGGCGAUAAAAAGUAGGAGAUGCCUUAUAGCGCGCGGCCGAUGAUGUCGCUUCUGGCGUUCACGGGGUUGAAUUUGGUCCUCGUCAACACCAUCUCUCCAGUCUACGACUUUGUCUGCUUUCUUCCCUAUUGGGAACGUCGGGAAAUCACUUAAGCGUUAGGUUGAACUCAAAAUACAACAAGAAGGAUCUGUGUAUCCGAACUAAUGCGUGCAUCUUAUCACUGAGAACAGUCUUUGUUAUCCUAGUUGAAGAAUUCAGUUUAAGGUCAUACCUUCCACAUUUCAUUCAAAACUGUUCGGCAUCAUGCUAUUCUUGUUAUGAAGUACAAGCAUUAUUCAACUUCUUCGAAGAAUUGAAAUUGAUAGGAGCAAAACAUAAACUGAUAAUUGAGAUAAGGAUGAGGCUCAAAUGGAGCACUUGGCCCCUGUUUUUAUUAAAAUUAUGUUUUUAUUCUUGUAUCUAAUUUGUUUUAGUAUGAAAUCCCUCGUCUAAUUUGGAUCAGUAAUGAUCCAUCUUUUGUUUAGGGUUUAGAUAUCUUGGUAAAUGAACUUGACAUAUUAGCUUGCAGUUUCUCAUCUGCAGUGUAAAAAUGUGGAUUAUCUAGACCUUGGAUAGAAAUUGAGUUCCUUUCAGGUAGAACAUUAAUCAUUAUAUCCUAGUAAUUAAUGUUGAUUAGAGCCAUGAUUUCCCCUCCGAUGGCAUCUCUAAUCCUUCCUUAUCCUUGGAAUACCAAGAAGUUUUUCAUCGCCUAGAAGGUGUUUUUUUUAACUUUAUUUGGAUUAUUAGAGCAGUAAACCAAUCAAGAUGUGAUUGGUGAAGCAUUGCUCUUGACCAUCUUUAUUUUGUAGUUGAAAGUGGUCACAGAGUUACGGUGAUUCAAAAAAGUUCAAGUAGGUUCAAGUACGCAUCUUUGUUUGAAGAUAGGAUUUUUCUUAUCAUACAGUCCAUACAAUGUUAUAGCAUUCUUACAAGGACAGGUACCCCUAUAGCUAUAGCAUUCUUAAAGUCUUCUAUCUUUUUGUUUCCGUAAACUUAUCAAUCUUCAUAUGUUCUUACCUUAUGUAAUACAGAAAAAAACAAUGAUCAUAAUGAUACCCCAACAAUUCCGUCGUCCUUGCCGGGACUAUCAAUCGACAGAGUUUUAAAAGUAGCAUGUUUAAGUUAUUUUGAAAACACUAGAUAUUAAAAGUUCAUAUAGUUGCUAGCCAAAUUUUAAUACACAUGCUUCCCAGAGUUAGAUUGCAGAAAGUUGCAUUAGCUAUGUCAUAUAUAUAUAUCGCAUACUUAUUUUGCUCUCUUAACCUCUGUAGAGGGAACGACGGCUAAAGGAGCGCGAGGAUGCUCUCCCAAAAGUUUCUCAAGAAACCUAGUUUCUUCUUGAUUUGGAAUGUGAAGAGAACUUGCAUGCAAGUUUUAAAGAUUGAACUCCUUGGAAGAGGCCUCUGUUCAUGCCUAAAUCUGAGGAGCAUUUGUAACUAUCGACAUCAAUUCCUAUUUGGCGGUUCUAAUUCUUGAAUUAGGCCAAAAUGUUAAGUAGGUUAAUCCAGAAGCACACCGUUUCAAGUCUGUCAGAAGUGUAACACAAUAAACUUUACAUUAAGAUUGAAUUCUUAUAA